UGGGGAAUAUUGGACAAUGGGGGGAACCCUGAUCCAGCCAUGCCGCGUGUGUGAAGAAGGCCUUAUGGUUGUAAAGCACUUUAAGCGAGGAGGAGGGUACUGGUAUUAAUACUACCAGGUACUGGACGUUACUCGCAGAAUAAGCACCGGCUAACUCUGUGCCAGCAGCCGCGGUAAUACAGAGGGUGCGAGCGUUAAUCGGAUUUACUGGGCGUAAAGCGUGCGUAGGCGGCUAAUUGAGUCGGGUGUGAAAUCCCCGAGCUUAACUUGGGAAUUGCAUUCGAUACUGGUUAGCUAGAGUGUGGGAGAGGAUGGUAGAAUUCCAGGUGUAGCGGUGAAAUGCGUAGAGAUCUGGAGGAAUACCGAUGGCGAAGGCAGCCAUCUGGCCUAACACUGACGCUGAGGUACGAAAGCACGGGGAGCAAACAGG
Molecule: ribosomal RNA, 430 nt
Filed under: Pseudomonadota bacterium
Lineage: Bacteria; Pseudomonadati; Pseudomonadota
Description: Proteobacteria bacterium partial 16S ribosomal RNA
Rfam family: Bacterial small subunit ribosomal RNA
Source: RNAcentral